GACGAACGCUGGCGGCGUGCUUAACACAUGCAAGUCGAACGUGAUUUUUGUGGAAAUUCUUUCGGGAAUGGAAAUGAAAUGAAAGCGGCGAACGGGUGAGUAACACGUGAGCAACCUACCUUACACAGGGGGAUAGCCGUUGGAAACGACGAUUAAUACCGCAUGAGACCACAGAAUCGCAUGAUAUAGGGGUCAAAGAUUUAUCGGUGUAAGAAGGGCUCGCGUCUGAUUAGCUAGUUGGAAGGGUAAAGGCCUACCAAGGCGACGAUCAGUAGCCGGUCUGAGAGGAUGAACGGCCACAUUGGAACUGAGACACGGUCCAAACUCCUACGGGAGGCAGCAGUGGGGAAUAUUGCACAAUGGGGGGAACCCUGAUGCAGCGACGCCGCGUGAGCGAAGAAGGUUUUCGAAUCGUAAAGCUCUGUCCUAUGAGAAGAUAAUGACGGUAUCAUAGGAGGAAGCCCCGGCUAAAUACGUG
RNAcentral lists this ribosomal RNA (478 nucleotides) under uncultured bacterium. RNAcentral's name for it is "partial 16S ribosomal RNA". It matches the Rfam family "Bacterial small subunit ribosomal RNA", at positions 28 to 507 of the family's 1533-position model. The record is from RNAcentral.